GAGACAACACUUUAUAUAUACAGUCUAUGCUAACAACCGACAACAGUUUGCUCCAAAAGAUGGCAGAAAUAGCCGGAUCGACAUCCAGAGAGGAAAUCCUGAAGGAAAGUGGGCCUCCCGCCAUACUUGGACAAGCCUCACCCAGACGACGAGACGGCGUACAGAGAGGAGGUCGAAAACCUGACAUCUU
This is a long non-coding RNA of Gymnodraco acuticeps, 190 nucleotides long. RefSeq lists it as uncharacterized. Lineage: Eukaryota; Metazoa; Chordata; Actinopteri; Perciformes; Bathydraconidae. The transcript is spliced from 3 exons. The record is from RefSeq and is a predicted model, not a curated record.